ACAUUUAACUGUGAAAUAGCAUACAUGUCUAUUUGUAUUUAGGUAGAAAAGAAAGAGUACUGGGUUUUGGCCUGUGAAGGAAAAUUCAGAAUACCGGAGGGAUGAGUUUGGCAUAUAGAAAUGACGGUUGGUCAGGGGAAUUGAAAUCAAGCCUCAAGAUUUGGAUCUCUGCGAUGUCCUGGAUCUGGCUUUACAUUUGAACUCCCUGUUUGGGGAAGAUUGAUGGUUACCAAAAGGAGAGAAUCACGCUUUGCUGGAAAAGCUGCUGUGGGUUAAGGACUCGCAGGUGGACAGUCAGGGUAGCAGCGUCUGAUCUCAUUCAACCCUGUGCCUCAGCUGAAACAACCCUGGCCCCGUUUAACAGUGCCCAUAGCAGGGUUUCUGCCAAGCAAGUCAAUUCACUUUCGAACAGAAGGAGAGCCUGUCUGUACUGUCUGGACGGGCGGGUGUCCCUGCCCUGCUCUGCCAUGCUGGGAGGAGGAGAGGGACAGCAGCUCAGAGCGGCACGGUGGGACAUCGCUCCUGAAACACGCCAUUGAACCACAGCUGCCCCGCAAAAUGCUCUUCGUGAGUCAUUAAAAAUAUUUCCUAGACUUGUCCUUGUGAAGGUGUAUUUCAUUAAUAGCUGUUGUUUGGGCUUUUAACACGGAAAAAGCCUCGUUUAUAAAUCAUCUCCUAAUUUCCAGGUAUAAAGGUGAAACGUGGUAUCAUACAAGAUGUGAAAGUAUCAAACGUGGAGCAUCCUACUCCCUAAAAAAACAGCUUUUGCUGCUUCAACCUGUAGGAAUUAGUAAAGUCCCUCUGCCUGCAAAACAAAUGUAAACAUAGUGCAGCAAAUAUACUGUGCUAAGCACUCUACCUAUUUCUGUUCUUUCCUGGCAACAGAUCCUGGAGAGAUGCUCUCUGCGAUGCUCUGCUCUUUGAAAGAGUCAAGCCAACAGCAAAAGCUUAAAACCCUCCAGACCAGGAGGACCUCGGGGGCCACUGCUGAGGGAGAGGCAUGAGGGCCAGUGCUGCUCCUGCAGCAAGAAGCCUUCCCCGCUGUCGCUCCCCCUCCAGCCCACCCACCGCGCAGGAGUUUGGCAGCGGUUACAGAAGGGAGCCCUGGUGCCGGUGCAACUUCUCCUUUCCUCCUGCCCCCACCAGGGGCCCAGCACUGGUCCUGCCUGUCCCUGCCAGCUUUGAUGAUCAGGGGGCUGGAGCCCCUCUGCUGUGAGGACAGGGAUGAGUUGGGAUUGUUCAGCCUGAAGAGAAGGCUCUGGGGAGACCUUAUAGCAGCUUUCCAGUAUCUGAAGGUAGCCUACAAGAAAGCUGGAUGGGGACAUUUUACAAGGGCAUGUAGUGAUAGGAGAAGGGGUAAUGGCUUCAAACUGGAUGAGGGUAGAUUUAGAUUAACCAGCUGGAAGAAAUUUUUCACUCUGAGGGUGGUGAGACACUGGCCCAGGUUGCCCAGAGAAGCUG
Molecule: long non-coding RNA, 1461 nt
Organism: Chroicocephalus ridibundus (black-headed gull)
Lineage: Eukaryota; Metazoa; Chordata; Aves; Charadriiformes; Laridae
Exons: 3
Source: RefSeq, a predicted model, not a curated record